Molecule: ribosomal RNA, 253 nt
Filed under: uncultured bacterium
Lineage: Bacteria
Description: partial 16S ribosomal RNA
Rfam family: Bacterial small subunit ribosomal RNA
Source: RNAcentral
UACGGAGGGGGCGAGCGUUAUUCGGAAUUAUUGGGCGUAAAGGGCGCGUAGGCGGCUUGAUGUGUCAAAGGUGAAAUCCCUCGACUCAACUGAGGAACUGCCUUUGAAACUGUCUGGCUUGAGGCCGGGAGAGGUAAGUGGAAUUCCGAGUGUAGAGGUGAAAUUCGUAGAUAUUCGGAAGAACACCAGUGGCGAAGGCGACUUACUGGACACAUAUUGACGCUGAGGUGCGAAAGCGUGGGGAGCAAACAGG